This 217-nucleotide ribosomal RNA is filed under the name uncultured bacterium. Its description in RNAcentral is "partial 16S ribosomal RNA". It matches the Rfam family "Bacterial small subunit ribosomal RNA", at positions 524 to 742 of the family's 1533-position model. The record is from RNAcentral.
UACGUAGGGUGCAAGCGUUGUCCGGAAUUAUUGGCGUGAAGAGCUCGUAGGCGGUUCGUCGCGUCGGCUGUGAAAACCUGAGGCUCAACCUCAGGCCUGCAGUCGAUACGGGCGGACUUGAGUACUGCAGGGGAGACUGGAAUCCUGGUGUAGCGGUGAAAUGCGCAGAUAUCAGGAGGAACACCGGUGGCGAAGGCGGGUCUCUGGGCAGUAACUG